UUAGUCCAUUAUCGCAUUCAAAUGUAUCAAUACAUGAAGAAAAAAACUACAAUUUUGCCAUGCUGACCAAGUGGACUUUUGGUCAACUGUUGAGUUUUGGUCAACCAAUUGACCAAAGUCAACUAUAUGACCAUUGACACUUUCCAAGUCCUAACUCAUGUUCAUGUUCACUUUUAACCAUGCUCAUUAUAAAGUCCAUUUCUUUAUUUUGUUCAUUUUCAUUUUAGACCCUAUUCUUC
This 239-nucleotide long non-coding RNA is filed under the name Lathyrus oleraceus (garden pea). RNAcentral's name for it is "Pisum sativum (pea) long non-coding RNA (PSAT_LNC013290)". The record is from RNAcentral. Lineage: Eukaryota; Viridiplantae; Streptophyta; Magnoliopsida; Fabales; Fabaceae.